GACGAACGCUGGCGGCGUGCUUAACACAUGCAAGUCGAACGGAAAGGCCCUGCUUUUGUGGGGUGCUCGAGUGGUGAACGGGUGAGUAACACGUGAGUAACCUGCCCUUGACUUUGGGAUAACUUCAGGAAACUGGGGCUAAUACCGGAUAGGAGCUCCUGCCGCAUGGUGGGGGUUGGAAAGUUUCGGCGGUUGGGGAUGGACUCGCGGCUUAUCAGCUUGUUGGUGGGGUAGUGGCUUACCAAGGCUUUGACGGGUAGCCGGCCUGAGAGGGUGACCGGCCACAUUGGGACUGAGAUACGGCCCAGACUCCUACGGGAGGCAGCAGUGGGGAAUAUUGCACAAUGGGCGGAAGCCUGAUGCAGCAACGCCGCGUGCGGGAUGACGGCCUUCGGGUUGUAAACCGCUUUCGCCUGUGACGAAGCGUGAGUGACGGUAAUGGGUAAAGAAGCACCGGCUAACUACGUG
RNAcentral lists this ribosomal RNA (468 nucleotides) under uncultured bacterium. RNAcentral describes it as "partial 16S ribosomal RNA". It matches the Rfam family "Bacterial small subunit ribosomal RNA", at positions 28 to 507 of the family's 1533-position model. The record is from RNAcentral.